RNAcentral lists this ribosomal RNA (503 nucleotides) under uncultured bacterium. RNAcentral describes it as "bacterial SSU rRNA". It matches the Rfam family "Bacterial small subunit ribosomal RNA", at positions 28 to 523 of the family's 1533-position model. The record is from RNAcentral.
GAUGAACGCUAGCGACAGGCUUAACACAUGCAAGUCGAGGGGCAGCAUAGAAGUAGCAAUACUUUGGUGGCGACCGGCGCACGGGUGAGUAACGCGUAUGCAACCUACCUAUCAGAGGGGAAUAACCCGGCGAAAGUCGGACUAAUACCGCAUAAAACAGGGGCACCGCAUGGUGAUAUUUGUUAAAGAAAUUCGCUGAUAGAUGGGCAUGCGUUCCAUUAGGUAGUUGGUGAGGUAACGGCUCACCAAGCCGACGAUGGAUAGGGGAACUGAGAGGUUGGUCCCCCACACUGGUACUGAGACACGGACCAGACUCCUACGGGAGGCAGCAGUGAGGAAUAUUGGUCAAUGGGCGGGAGCCUGAACCAGCCAAGUCGCGUGAAGGAAGAAGGAUCUAUGGUUCGUAAACUUCUUUUGCAGGGAAAUAAAGUGCAGGACGUGUCCUGUUUUGUAUGUACCCUGAGAAUAAGGAUCGGCUAACUCCGUGCCAGCAGCCGCGGUAA